Molecule: transfer RNA, 63 nt
Filed under: Omocestus petraeus
Lineage: Eukaryota; Metazoa; Arthropoda; Insecta; Orthoptera; Acrididae
Also listed under: 6 other names
Description: tRNA-Cys
Source: RNAcentral
GGUCUUAUAUUCAAUUAUGAUUCUAGACUGCAAUUCUAGGGGUGUAAAGUUUUACUAAGGCCU